This is a long non-coding RNA of Pristis pectinata (smalltooth sawfish), 671 nucleotides long. RefSeq lists it as uncharacterized. The transcript has 4 exons. The record is from RefSeq and is a predicted model, not a curated record. NCBI's taxonomy places the organism in Eukaryota, Metazoa, Chordata, Chondrichthyes, Rhinopristiformes, Pristidae.
AGAAGACCUAGAAUUCAUUCCUCAGCCUUUGGUUUUCGCGACAGAUGAUUUGUUUAUCUGCAACUUGUUGAUAAAGAUGACUCACAUUUAUAAGUCCUAUCUGGUGUGGAUCAUUUCCUAGUGAUGACACUACUCUGAAUAAUGCAAGAUCCUGCUUGAUCUGCAGAACAUUUCCAGCACUUCCUGGUUUUAUUGCAUCUGUACAGUGUCAGGAUAUCCCAACCCAUGACAUAAAAUAUAUUUGAUGAAUUAUUUUAUCUCUCAAUGUUAGUGCCUGCAGUUUCCAGACAAGUGCAUGGAAUAACUUCUUCUUUAAAAGGAAAUCUUUCGAUACCAUCUAUCACAAAGAAUAGCCACUUCGGAGAGAAAUCAGAGGGCUGUUACUCGUCAACGACCCAUACCCUGACAAGAAUUGAUCAAGGAGAAAAGUGGAGGAGAAGAAUCAAAUUCACAAAUAUUUGUAUUUUUGUGCUGUUUUUCCAUUUUUCCAAACUUGUUUGAUUCAUCAUUAAGGGAACUUUUCAGUUCUAUGACUUAAAAUGUGUAACAUAAUCCUAACAAAAUGAAUGAAUGCAAACCAUCACUUGUACUGAAUGGACAAUUGCCAUUGGAUUUACAGGUCAGAAACUAACUUGCAAGGUAUGAAUGGUUGCCCUGAUGUCCAUUUAGCA